CAGGUCUUUUGUUUCACAGGUUACACUUCCUACAAGGAUGUGAGUAGCAAGUCCCUUCACUUCUGUCACCUAUGAGGGAAAAAAACAGGACAUCCAUGAUCAUGCAAGAAUAAAUUACAAGAGUGGACUAUGAAAACCAUGCUGCGGCUGCAAUGAGGAUCUGGGUGUGGGGCUGGAAACCAGCUGCUGUGAUGUGCUAAUCUCAGCAGUGGCCCCAAUUCAUGCCAUGCCUGGCAUGCUUCUCCCCUCAGUUCCAGUGUCAACAUCUGCCACACCAGAAGUGCUACCUUGUGAGUGCCACGCUACACUGAGGUGGUCAGUGAACUAAGAAGAAGGACCCUGUUGCACCCCUGUCUCACAGGACCCGUCCAUUCACCACUGCCUUCCUUCCGGGGGUGCUAACACCACUGCUUUGGGAAACACAUGGAGAAGCUAAGCCAGCUUAAAAUCACCUGACAAAAAAAAUGAACAAAAAUAUUAUUUUCCCAUUUAUUUUAAAAGCAGAACCUGGCACACCUCAUACCCUCAGUUCAUUUCACCCUGCAUCUGC
Long non-coding RNA from Tympanuchus pallidicinctus (lesser prairie-chicken), 550 nucleotides. RefSeq lists it as uncharacterized. The transcript has 2 exons. The record is from RefSeq and is a predicted model, not a curated record. Lineage: Eukaryota; Metazoa; Chordata; Aves; Galliformes; Phasianidae.